Molecule: long non-coding RNA, 2896 nt
Organism: Syngnathus typhle (broad-nosed pipefish)
Lineage: Eukaryota; Metazoa; Chordata; Actinopteri; Syngnathiformes; Syngnathidae
Exons: 3
Source: RefSeq, a predicted model, not a curated record
UUCCAAACGAAUGACUUGAAGCCUAAAGGGGAGCAAAUUUCCUCGUCUUUUUGGACACUAGCCAUAGCACCAGCCCAGGAGCAGCGUACUAGUUGUCGACUCCCCUUUCACGUACCUGCUCUGCUCACAAUACAACAACGCCGGGCGCACUACUCCCGGAAAGAUGAAGCAAGCAACAAUGAACUGGAUUUCAAAAUAAAGUCGCGUCUAAUGUCCGAGGUCAAACACGGCGAUAUAAAUCGAUGUUUACGUUUAGCAUCGAUGCCAAUAAAUCGUAGAGCAUUAUAUCGAUUAAUCGAUGUGUAUCGAUGUAUCGUUACACCCCUAAUUAUUACCGUUUUUUUCCAUGUAUAAUGCGCCCCCAUGUAUAAUACGCACCCUAAAAAUGGCAUGUCGAUGCUGGAAAAAAGCCUGUACCCAUGUAUAAUACGCACCCAUUUUUAUUUAUUUAUUUUUUUAAGUCCCAAUGAUCGUCACACACGCAUCUGGGUGUGGUGAAAUUUGUCCUCUGCAUUUGACCCAUCCCCGUGUGAUUUUGAUCCAUCCCCUGGGGGAGAGGGGAGCAGUGAGCAGCAGCGGCGCCGCGCUCGGGAAUCAUUUGGUGAUCUAACCCCCCAAUUCCAACCCUUAAUGCUGAGUGCCAAGCAGGGAGGCAAUGGGUCCCAUUUUUAUAGUCUUUGGUAUGGUCUUAACUAGGCUGGACGUAUUUUUUUUGUUGGCGUUGAUUUCUCCGACUGCCCGUAAAGGCACCACCGCGAUCAGUUUGUUUAAAAUGGAAAAGAGGAAAGUGACGAGCGGACAUGUGAAAAAGGCGGCUCUGUAUGGGAGAGAAGUUGAAGAGGAAUAGAAACACCCUUGGAAACCAAAACUUGCCCCUCUUCGUGACUCGGAGCCGCAACAAAUGUUUCAGAUUUGUGUAGGGUACAUUGUGACAGCAAACGAGCAGGGGAUCGAGCAAGCGUCUGAUACGAGAGCAUUGCGUUCGUAUGGAGCGUGUUUGAAGUGAACAGCAGAGACAAAAGGAACAAGGCAAAGUGUUGUGUAAUAAAAUAUUACCUGUAAUACGCAUUUUGUUAUUUGCUGAUUGUAUUAAACUAUCACAUUCAUUGUCAGUCAAGAAGAGGACUAUUCGCAUCGGAUCCAUAGUGCGCAUGCUGCCUCCGUAUGACGUCCAGUCCGCGAUGGAGAUUAAAAACCAAACAAUAUUUGACAAUAACACAGGUUUCUUUUCCUGUCUUUAGUAAUGUCACCCUGUCUUUUUGUUCCACGUCUUUGUCGGUCAAUCCUGUUGUUGGUUUUGUUAGAGAGUUAUGUUAGUUUACCAAGUCUGUGUUUUGAGUUCCUCCAAUGAACCCUAGUCCAAGCUGCACUCGGUCGCCCUGCUCCUUUCCACACUCCAUCCGUGACAAGAUUUUCUUCAAAAAUUGUUGUACCAUGAUUUUCUUACCAAAAAAAUUUUUUUUAAAAUUGUACCCAUGUAUAAUGCGCACCCCAGAUUUUAGGACAAUAAAUUAGUUAAAUUUUGCGCAUUAUACAUAGGAAAAAACGGUAUAUUUGAUGGAUUUAAUUUUGUCGUCUAUAUUAGGUCUAUGGCAUGACCUAAUAUAGACGUCUAAAAUAGGUCUACACUUAGACGAGACGUCUAAUAGUUCUAGUUCUAAGUUCUAAUAGAGGGAACCUGUUCAAAUUUGGCACACAGCCUGAAAGGACCCUCAGGGAUACAGAAAAAAAACAGCUGGAGUCCAGCACUCACAGUUCUCAAAAUAAGGGGGGGGGAACAUAUCCUCACGGGCCGGCUGUGAGGAUUUGUUCCCCCCCUGUAAUUUGGCCUAGGAAUGAGGGAACCUGCUCAAAUUUGGCACACAACCUGAAAAGACCCCCAGGGAGACACAAAACAAAACGUCAAUACCCAAAUGGUAUUACGAAGAAGGAGAAGUACGUAUUGAGAAGAAAAGCUUUUUACGACGUUGAGGGUAAGAUACACAACGUACUUAAAUCAAGCAAAUUAGAUCCAGAGACGCACCAAAAAUUCACAUUGCAGAACCUGCUAAUUUCUACAUUAACAUCAGAAACUUAAGUUUUAGAGUAAUUACUCUAUAAGACAAAUAAUUGACUUAUAAAAUGUUGGACGCAAUAUAUAUAACACACCUCACUAUGAAGGAAAUUGUUGAAUUUGUUGAGUGCAACUCAAGCUAUGUUUUUUUUUCAAGUAACUAUUUGUAGAUCUAUUGAGCAAAUAUUUGAUAAAUUAUCAAACUAAAGUAACAUAUUUGGUUGUAGACCCAUUGAGUGAACAUUUGAUAUAUAAUGAAACUAAUGGGUUUUUUUUGUCUAAGUAGCAAAUUUGCAAUUAGGUGUAUUGAGUGAGCACUUAAUGAAUUACCACAAGUAUGGUGCUAAUUCAACGUUUUAUUUUUACUUCUACUCAGGAGGGGAGCUGUAUUAUUGCCGCCAAAACGGCAUAGACCAGGCAGUCCAAGUGAAGGUUGUCUGUGGUGCUGAAGAGGCGAAUGAAAUUUUUAAGAGUUUUCAUGCCAGCCCGGCAGCGGCACACACCACAUUCUUUAUGCACUGCUAACAUCUGACAUUGUAUUUUUCAGUUUGCAGAACAUCUUCUUUCAAAUGAAGAAAUAGAUUUCUCAGCAAAGGCACAUGAUAUAAAUAGGUACAGGCUGCAAAUUGGCACCACACUUCUAUUAGAGACUGAUGAUUCAUCUGACUUGUGCUUUGUUUGUGGGGAAGCUACACAUGACACAGACAACAGAUGGAUUCAGUGUGACGAGUGUUGCAGGUGGUUCCAUCUUGUAUGUGUCGGGGAGCCUCCAACUGAAGGCUCUUUUUUGUGUACAACAUGUACAGAAAUUAAAUGCUAAAUAUUUGAAGCUUGCUUAAAGAC